UACGGAGUGUGUAAGCGUGAAUCGGAAUUACGGGGCGGAAAGCGCGCGUAGGUGGCUUGAUAGGCCGGUUGUGAAAGCCCCGGGCUCAACCUGGGAACGGCAUCCGGAACUGUCAAGCUAGAGUGCAGGAGAGGAAGGUAGAAUUCCCGGUGUAGCGGUGAAAUGCGUAGAGAUCGGGAGGAAUACCAGUGGCGAAGGCGGCCUUCUGGACUGACACUGACACUGAGGUGCGAAAGCGUGGGUAGCAAACAGG
This 253-nucleotide unclassified non-coding RNA is filed under the name uncultured Halomonadaceae bacterium. Its description in RNAcentral is "contains 16S-23S intergenic spacer region". It matches the Rfam family "Bacterial small subunit ribosomal RNA", at positions 524 to 776 of the family's 1533-position model. The record is from RNAcentral. Lineage: Bacteria; Pseudomonadati; Pseudomonadota; Gammaproteobacteria; Oceanospirillales; Halomonadaceae.